Molecule: long non-coding RNA, 932 nt
Organism: Cylas formicarius (sweet potato weevil)
Lineage: Eukaryota; Metazoa; Arthropoda; Insecta; Coleoptera; Brentidae
Exons: 2
Source: RefSeq, a predicted model, not a curated record
CAGUUCGGCACAGUUUGUUUGUUAGCAUCUCCUGCUUCACAAGAAUUUUUUCCGAUGUUUAUGUUGUGGCGAACUGGCUAAUUCUUCGGCUUUCGAUUUUAGAACUGGACCACUUAUUGCAAUAGUUUCGUAUCAUCGAACUUGAAGCACGUAAAAGAGCUUUAUCUACAUCUGAAUGUACAAGAUUUCAAAUUUUUUCGCGAUUACUCCAAAUUGUAGAUAUUGUUGUUUUUGCCAAUUUCUUUUAUCUAGCAAUUUCCGCCUUACCGAUACCACUCUCAAUACUUCUGAUAAUUUCAAUCUUUUCUUAUAGGCUUGCGCCGAACAGCUUUUUUAACCAUAAAUUCAAAAAAUCGUGCUAGCGGACGUUUCCAUAAAACAAUAUUGUGGAAACUGUCGCCCUGACACGCACCACAUUUCAGAUAAAACCUCGCAAAUGGCUACUGAAAAAUCCCCGAUAUUUUCGGAGAACCACCGCUGGAUAAUCCGGUUUUAGCGUACACUCGUACUUUAUAACCAGAACGAUAACGAAAAUAUUGUACCGUAGUAGAAGCUAUAUAUGGUACGUAAUAUCGGAUGAAAAUCAAGAGUAUUUUGGCCGGACCAGAAAAAUAUGUGCGUAAUACCCGGAAGUACCAUAUCCCAUUGCGAAAACUAUUAAAUCAAUCAAAUUUAUUACAUGGAAAGUCCAAGUUGCGAAAAAUAACACUUGCUUGUCAACGUAAUACUUGUGUGAGGCGCAAAAUAUAUUCGCUAACAUCCUAACUUAAAUAAUUAAGUGAUAGACCAACAAUCGAUCAAUGGGAUAGGUGCUGCUCAUUUAUAACUGUGGUAAGAGUACCUAAUGACUUAAAAAAAAGUAAACUGAAGAAACCAAAACUAACCUUCAGCUUCAAAGUGACGUAGCUAAACGAUUUGAAAAACGUAUAAAA